Molecule: unclassified non-coding RNA, 2661 nt
Filed under: Hevea brasiliensis (rubber tree)
Lineage: Eukaryota; Viridiplantae; Streptophyta; Magnoliopsida; Malpighiales; Euphorbiaceae
Source: RNAcentral
UUUUUUUUUUUUGGAUAGAUAAAUUUAGUUAUAAAAAGCAGGAUUUGAAGUAUAAUAUGGUAAAAGACCUAUAAUGCAAUAAAACGGGUUUAGAGAUCUGAACCCAUGGUCUAAACACAAACCUAGCUAAAGACACCAUAACCCAUACAAGCAUAACCCAACAGAAAUUCUAAAAGGGUUGCUUGCAACCCGGACUCAAUAGCCUAGAUGAGCUAAGCACGAGCACUGCAUGGAGGACCAGCCUCUCCCAGAAUCUUCAGCAUCUUUGCCGGUAGUCUUUCAUCCCCAGCCACAUCAACGAGAAUCAGAAAAAAAACGAAGUUCAACACAAACCAAUUGAAGCACAAGAUCAUAGCAACAUGGAAUCAUAGGGACUCGGGAGAAAAGAGAGUGUUUUGAUGGCUUUUAAUCUGCUUUAGCCGGAAGGGGCAGCCACAAUCUCAGAUGGAAGGCCAGCAUUAUAAACCUUGGGAACCUUUUUUCUAAGAAUUCCACCAGAGCACAACUCUAGAGCCCUGUAACUCUCACAUACGAAGAAACCAUAGAAACUCACAUUGAUGACCAAAUUAGGCAGAGGAUAUGGGCGGUGGGUUUUUUGGCGUACCACUAGAGCCUUCUGGACUAACGUCUAGAUCGCAUCCCGUGAACCACCACCACUUUGCAAUAAUGUCUCCGGUGUCAUGCAAGAAAUAGUGGCACCCACCAAUAGAGAAGCUCCCAUCUCCACCAUAAAAACCAGGAGUAUACACUCAUAGUCGACGAUUCAAGGCUGCAUAAGUCGAUCAAAGUUCCUGCCAAUAAAAGCUUUGGAUCUGCAAACCAAAACCCUAUCCAUCCAAAAAGGAUGAAGGAGAACUCACUCUUGGGUGGAGGAGACCCCUUGCUCUUGAGAAGCAGGGAGGCCGCUUGCCAGCAAAAAAACGAGGGACAAAGCCCUUAGAACAAGAGAAACAGAUGGAGAAAAAUUCUAUUUCUAUAGUUUAGAGAGAUUGGCAGCAGUAGUUAAUUAAUUAUACGGUUUCUACACAUGAUAAUUGAUAAUUCUAAUUACUAGCUCCAUUAAUGGUCUUCUCGAAGAUGCUCAACACAUGAGAUAAAUGACCUUCAACUUCAAGCAUCUCCUUUUCAUUGUCUUGCUGUGUCUGCUGCUGAUGAGAAGUUGAUUUUUAAACUGAAUAAAAUAUAUGUGAUAGCUAAACAAUUUAUCCAAGAUUUAUUAUUUUACCGAAAUGAAAUUAUGGCAUCUGAAUAUCAGUGUAUGAGAGAGAAGAACCUUUCCAUUCUAAAACCACAAACAAAAGCUCCCACGUGAACCCAAAAGCUGUCAACCAAUUUCCACCAUAGCAGAGGAACAAAACAAAACGUAACAUCACUUGCUACUAUUACCCAAAAUAAAAAAAGUAAGCAAUAAUACAGAAAUAAUCAGCACCACCAUUGGAAUAUGCCACCAUCUUUCACCUCCGUCCAUCCAUGAUUCCCUCAUUUUCACCACCACAGGCACAAGUCCAUGCAUGCAUGCCAAAAUUUCUCUCUCUUUCUUUCUUUCUUUCUGUUUGCGGGAGAGAAGGAAUCUCGAAAACCCUCCAAAUAUUUCUCUUUCAUUUUUUGUUGGCAUCCUUCAAGAUUAAGGAGAAAGAUAUUUCCCUUUCUUGGUUUGUGUUUCUCUCUCUGCCUUUUUCUCAUCCAUGACAAGCACCCACCUUGCAUGCUGCUGCUGCACCUCCACAUUUGCUCGUUUUCCUCUUUCUUCCUAUCCUCUUUUUCGCUUUCUCCUUUUGUUUCUUCUUCUUCUUCUCCUUCCUCUUUUACUCUUCUUGUUUCUUUCUCUUCUUCCACCUUCCCUUCAGCUUUCAACUUUCCAUUACUAUUAGGCGAAUGUCCACCUCCUUCACAUAUCUUCAAAGAUCUCUCUAUAAUAGGAGUAGAGGCAGGGCUAGGGCUACUUGAACUAAGGUCAGGUGGUGUGCUUUGAGUCCCAACAUCUCUAGUCAUGCCUUCCAUUUUCUUUUCUUGAAGGGGAAAUUGAACACAAUCAUCUGGUGUUGCAACGGAGGGCUUUGUGUGGACUUUCUUCGAAUGGGAAGAGUAAACAAGAGGUGCAGACAUUGUAAUUCUAUUUGCUGGGUUACGAAAUGAUCUCCCGCUAAGAGUUUUUGCUGACAAACAUUCCACUGGUACCUCUCCUGAAAGCGGAUUGCAUAUAUACUUCUCCGCGUCAUUCCACUUAGAAUUCAAUGCAAACCCAUCUGGUGAUAAGCAAUCCCAGCUGUUAUACACUGCUCUUGCCUGCAAUGCUUUGAGAGCAGUAGUGAAGGAGUAUGUUGAUGGGUCAAUUUCUUCUGAAAAAAGCACAAGUACCACAGAAGUUGGUUUUGCUUGAAAAAUGGAAACUAAAAAGGAAGAACAGAUGCAAAGAAAGUAAGAGACCUUUGAGAGGAUAGCCAGGAGAUGAAGCGGUGCUAGAGAUGGUAAUGCUUGAUCUAAAAGACCUUGCAUCUUCUCUGAAACUUCUGAUAUGUGAUCCUGAAAACCUUCUUGAUUUGGUGUUCUCACGACUGAUUUGAGCCCUUGAAGCCCAUUCUCUGAGAUUGAACUCUGGUUCCUCUCGUCGUCGAGAACCAUAGGGAGAUUGUUCCGUUGUUGAAUUAGCCAUGAAUCAAU